AUGCAUGCUUUUACAGUAUGGAAAUUGGUGAUUUAUAAUAACUUGGCAAAUCGCAAAGUGAAAACAGGCGAUAAAUCAUUCAAGUUUCUGACCUAUCAGCUUUCGACGGUAUGGUAUUGGCUUACCGUGGCAGUGACGGUUAACGGGGGAUUAGGGUUCGAUUCCGGAGAGGGAGCCUGAGAAACGGCUACCACAUCUAAGGAAGGCAGCAGGCGCGCAAAUUACCCAAUUCUAACAGUUUGAGAGAGGUAGUAACAAGAAAUAACAAUACAAGGCAAUUAAAAUGCUUUGUAAUUGGAAUGAUAGAAAUUUAAACCCUUUUUAAAGUAUCAAUUGGAGGGCAAGUCUGGUGCCAGCAGCCGCGGUAAUUCCAGCUCCAAUAGCGUAUAUUAAAAUUGUUGCAGUUAAAAAGCUCGUAGUUGAAGUUCUGCUAAAAGUAACCGGUCUGCUUUUAAUAAAAGUGGUAUCUUGGUGUGUAUUUAGCAAUGAUGUCCUUUGAAGUG
RNAcentral lists this ribosomal RNA (503 nucleotides) under Hepatozoon canis. RNAcentral describes it as "bacterial SSU rRNA". It matches the Rfam family "Eukaryotic small subunit ribosomal RNA", at positions 224 to 717 of the family's 1831-position model. The record is from RNAcentral. Lineage: Eukaryota; Apicomplexa; Hepatozoidae.